GACGAACGCUGGCGGCGUGCUUAACACAUGCAAGUCGAACGGAAAGGCCCUGCUUUUGUGGGGUGCUCGAGUGGCGAACGGGUGAGUAACACGUGAGUAACCUGCCCUUGACUUUGGGAUAACUUCAGGAAACUGGGGCUUAUACCGGAUAGGAGCUCCUGCUGCUUGGUGGGGGUUGGAAAGUUUCGGCGGUUGGGGAUGGACUCUCGGCUUAUCAGCUUGUUGGUGGGGUAGUGGCUUACCAAGGCUUUGACGGGUAGCCGGGCUGAGAGGGUGACCGGCCAAAUUGGGACUGAGAUACGGCCCAGACUCCUACGGGAGGCAGCAGUGGGGAAUAUUGCACAAUGGGCGGAAGCCUGAUGCAGCAACGCCGCGUGCGGGAUGACGGCCUUCGGGUUGUAAACCGCUUUCGCCUGUGACGAAGCGUGAGUGAAGGUAAUGGGUAAAGAAGCACCGGCUAACUACGUG
Molecule: ribosomal RNA, 468 nt
Filed under: uncultured bacterium
Lineage: Bacteria
Description: partial 16S ribosomal RNA
Rfam family: Bacterial small subunit ribosomal RNA
Source: RNAcentral